UUUUAUUUUCUCCCACAAAACCUACCACCUCCAUUCUUCGCAUCUUCCAAAACGGAAACCUUCGCAUCUUCCAUCUCGCUCACGAUCUGGUCAAGAUCUCUCUUAAUUUCGGUAUUGUACGUGGUGGUGAAAACGCUUUGGUGGUGGUUUCAAACUCUCUCUCUCUCUCUCUCUCUCUCUCUUCAUUUCGGUACUGUGACUCGGGGAAAACCUUCGCCUUCUCUUCUUUCUGCUUUGGAUUCAAACUGUGCUUGCGAAACAAGAUUGUUUUUUGGAUUCAAACUCUGCUCAAUUCAGAAUAUCUCGUGCUUUUGAUUUUUUCUGCCGAUUCUGCACUGAGCAUUUUUCGUUGACUAUCCUCACUUCUCGUGAAUCAGGAAAUCAUUUGUUAGAGGUAGCUUUAACCACUAGACGUUGAAUCCCUUGUCACGAGUACCUUUGUAGUUGGGUGUUUUUUUGAUGUUUGCGACUACUUUCGCUAUAUGUUCACUGGCCGUACAAUUUUUUUAGUUUUGUAAAUUAGAUGUUCUUCAUGUUUCAGUUUUAAUAGGGGGUGUACAAGUUAUUGCUGAUAAGUGGUGGUUUUUUAGGGGGGUGUGAGCAGCAGAAACAAUAAAUGGAAUAUUAUACAAUAUAAUAUUUUUCAUUAAAAUAUUCCAGCAGGUAAAAAUUGCUUUUUUACCGCCACCUGUCCAAAAAUCUAAGCCUUGUGCAUGGUGCACAAAUCUUCCCCUUGUGCACCCUAAAUGCCACCAAUUUAAAGGAUUAAAAUUGUAAACAGGAAAGAUGGCAAACUUCCAAAGAAAUGGACACUGGAAACAGCUGCUUGUAUGUGGAUAAGACAACAAAAUCAGACGGGUGGUCGGGAUCACGGGCGCUGCACUGAGACAUGUCAUGUCAUCUCCCCUUCCCCCCAAAAAGGCCCCACGUCUCUUAGAUCAAGUCCCAUUUACCAAAUCUUUAAACCUUUUCCUUUGACAACAAAUUAACAAUAACCCAACUCCAUUUCAAUCAAUAAUCUUCAGAUAGCAACACCUCAACUACCCUCUUGCACAAUUAGCACAUGCACCACCUAUGGAAGUGAAAAAGAAGAAGGAAAAAAACACCUGUUUCUAAUUCUUUAAUUAUUUUCUCCUGUAACAAUCCUUCUAACUCCUAAGCAUUAUAGUACAACACUGUUUACUCUCUAAUUAUUUAUCAUUUUUACACUUGUAUCAUUCUUAGUUUCUAUGACUUUGAAUGUAACUCUUGUUUAGGAGAAACUAAGGGGGGUGUAUUGGAUUAGGAUUUUAAAAGACAAUUUUAAUAAAAAAAGUCUUUAAGAUUUUAAAAGACUUUGUGAGAUUGUAUUGAUUCUGUGAGAUUUUAAAAGACUUUUUAUGUAAAAAACU
Molecule: long non-coding RNA, 1391 nt
Organism: Medicago truncatula (barrel medic)
Lineage: Eukaryota; Viridiplantae; Streptophyta; Magnoliopsida; Fabales; Fabaceae
Exons: 4
Source: RefSeq, a predicted model, not a curated record